AGCGAGGCCGUUUUACGAAAUCCAAAGCCAGCAGUCGUUACGUGGCUAUGCAACGAUUUCACACGGAUCGUUCGUUGAACACGGUGGUAUAAAAGAGAGAAAGGAUAUAGGAGAAAUAUAUAAUAGAGGGAGAAGGAGAUGGAUAUAGAAGAGGAACAUAGAAGAGGGUGGAACUAUGGCACAAAUUAAUAUGGCUUUACAGAAACUGAAAUAGCGGUGGAACAGUGGUGGUAGCUACCGCCCCUAAGAAUUUAUCGUUUCGAGCAAUUAAGCGAACGGCCGUUGGAUAUCGUCUGGUCACCUCUAUAAUACCUCCACCCCCACUUCCGGCUCCACCAGCAUCACCAUCGGCAACUACACCACCAGUACCUUCACAACUAUCAGCAUCAGCAUCAGCUUCGCACCGACCACCCUCCUCAUACUAUCGUGGUGCUACAACUCUCGUUUCUCUUUAAUCGAUCGAACUUACCAAGUUGGACCCGCCUCGAGAAAGGGAUUACUUCCGAUCUAGCGUAACUUUCCUUUCGGAUCCACUGUCACCACCAAACUCUCAGACUAUUUCCAAGACGUUUUUACGUGUUCCGUGCAGUAGGUCCAGUCCGACAAAUAACUUUUACGCUGCCGACAAAUUGAACGUUACAAGGGCCACCAAAUCCUCCUAAAGUUAUCAUCGGGUUCUGAGAAUUCGAGUGGAGAAACAAAGUGACAACAAAAGAUCAAAUGUCAUGGGAGCAUGACCUGUCAUAGAUAAUAUUCAUGAAAUUAAUGGGGAGAGAAUUAUCAGCAACCAUUGCAACAAAGAUUCUGGAAGAAUUAAU
Cotesia glomerata is the source of this 818-nucleotide long non-coding RNA. RefSeq lists it as uncharacterized. The record is from RefSeq and is a predicted model, not a curated record. The transcript is spliced from 3 exons. NCBI's taxonomy places the organism in Eukaryota, Metazoa, Arthropoda, Insecta, Hymenoptera, Braconidae.